RNAcentral lists this ribosomal RNA (427 nucleotides) under uncultured bacterium. Its description in RNAcentral is "partial 16S ribosomal RNA". It matches the Rfam family "Bacterial small subunit ribosomal RNA", at positions 355 to 774 of the family's 1533-position model. The record is from RNAcentral.
UGGGGAAUAUUGCACAAUGGGCGCAAGCCUGAUGCAGCCAUGCCGCGUGUAUGAAGAAGGCCUUCGGGUUGUAAAGUACUUUCAGCGAGGAGGAAGGCGUUGUGGUUAAUAACCGCAACGAUUGACGUUACUCGCAGAAGAAGCACCGGCUAACUCCGUGCCAGCAGCCGCGGUAAUACGGAGGGUGCAAGCGUUAAUCGGAAUUACUGGGCGUAAAGCGCACGCAGGCGGUCUAUCAAGUCGGAUGUGAAAUCCCCGGGCUCAACCUGGGAACUGCAUCCGAAACUGGCAGGCUAGAGUCGUGUAGAGGGGGGUAGAAUUCCAGGUGUAGCGGUGAAAUGCGUAGAGAUCUGGAGGAAUACCGGUGGCGAAGGCGGCCCCCUGGACAAAGACUGACGCUCAGGUGCGAAAGCGUGGGGAGCAAACA